Molecule: ribosomal RNA, 414 nt
Filed under: uncultured bacterium
Lineage: Bacteria
Description: bacterial SSU rRNA
Rfam family: Bacterial small subunit ribosomal RNA
Source: RNAcentral
GGGCCCGCACAAGCGGUGGAGCAUGUGGUUUAAUUCGAUGCAACGCGAAGAACCUUACCAAGGCUUGACAUACUACAGAUUUCUUUGAAAAAGGAAAGUGCCUUCGGGAAUGUAGGUACAGGUGGUGCAUGGCUGUCGUCAGCUCGUGUCGUGAGAUGUUGGGUUAAGUCCCGCAACGAGCGCAACCCUUAUUUUUAGUUGCUAAUUUAGUUUAGGUUUUCUAGAAAGACUGCCGGUGACAAACCGGAGGAAGGUGAGGAUGACGUCAAGUCAGCAUGCCCCUUAUGCCUUGGGCUACACACGUGCUACAAUGGUUAAGACAAAGAGUUGCGAGCUCGUGAGAGUCAGCUAAUCUCAUAAACUUAGCCUAAGUUCAGAUUGUAGGCUGCAACUCGCCUACAUGAAGUUGGAAUC